GUGCUUACGCCGUUGCCCUGGCGGUGCCGCCGGGUGCUAUCCGCUGGGUGAAGCUGCCACCUGCCGGGCAGCUCCGCUCCUCUCGGCUCAGAGAGGGCUGGCAGGGCAAGGAGGAGAUCUGCGAGCGCAGGCACCAAAUCUCGCAGCUCAGCCUCGACGGUGCGCUCCCUAACACUCACCGCAGCCAGGACUCAAGUAACAGCCCAGAGGGAAGAGAGCACCUUGCCUGACAGCCUGCCCCAACUGCAACUCCUCCGGUCUUCUGGUGCCAGCUGGUACCAGGAAAAGCAUCCCCAAAGGCAGCCUCUUUUGUCUCCCCAGAUCCUGUACUGUACAUGUGUUAGGAUCUGAAGCCACCGUUUCCAAGACGAAGCAAUGCAGCAGCAGGCUUAGCCAAACACGGGUAACGAUGGCACAAAGCCUGGGUGUCUUGGAGUUCAAGUGCAUCGCACAGAAGUGUGCCAAACAGAGGCACACCAUGGCCAGGUGAAUAAAUUCACAACUUUCAGGCAGAAAGAGAAGAAGAGAAGGAGAGCUUGGCUCUCCUUCCAAAUUUUGCACAUUUAUCAUAGUCAAAUCUCCUGCCAAGGAAAAGGGG
Cygnus olor (mute swan) is the source of this 598-nucleotide long non-coding RNA. RefSeq lists it as uncharacterized. The transcript has 3 exons. NCBI's taxonomy places the organism in Eukaryota, Metazoa, Chordata, Aves, Anseriformes, Anatidae. The record is from RefSeq and is a predicted model, not a curated record.